RNAcentral lists this ribosomal RNA (800 nucleotides) under uncultured bacterium. Its description in RNAcentral is "bacterial SSU rRNA". It matches the Rfam family "Bacterial small subunit ribosomal RNA", at positions 8 to 807 of the family's 1533-position model. The record is from RNAcentral.
AGAGUUUGAUCAUGGCUCAGGAUGAACGCUGGCGGCGUGCUUAACACAUGCAAGUCGAACGAAGCACUUUAUUCGAAUUCUUCGGAAGGAAGAUUUAGUGACUGAGUGGCGGACGGGUGAGUAACGCGUGGGCAACCUGCCUCAUACAGGGGGAUAACAGUUGGAAACGACUGCUAAUACCGCAUAAGCGCACAGUACCGCAUGGUACAGUGUGAAAAACUCCGGUGGUAUGAGAUGGGCCCGCGUCUGAUUAGCCAGUUGGCGGGGUAACGGCCCACCAAAGCGACGAUCAGUAGCCGACCUGAGAGGGUGACCGGCCACAUUGGGACUGAGACACGGCCCAAACUCCUACGGGAGGCAGCAGUGGGGAAUAUUGCACAAUGGGGGAAACCCUGAUGCAGCGACGCCGCGUGAGCGAAGAAGUAUUUCGGUAUGUAAAGCUCUAUCAGCAGGGAAGAAGAAUGACGGUACCUGACUAAGAAGCACCGGCUAAAUACGUGCCAGCAGCCGCGGUAAUACGUAUGGUGCAAGCGUUAUCCGGAUUUACUGGGUGUAAAGGGAGCGCAGGCGGAAGGCUAAGUCUGAUGUGAAAGCCCGGGGCUCAACCCCGGUACUGCAUUGGAAACUGGUCAUCUAGAGUGUCGGAGGGGUAAGUGGAAUUCCUAGUGUAGCGGUGAAAUGCGUAGAUAUUAGGAGGAACACCAGUGGCGAAGGCGGCUUACUGGACGAUUACUGACGCUGAGGCUCGAAAGCGUGGGGAGCAAACAGGAUUAGAUACCCUGGUAGUCCACGCCGUAAAC